GUUAGCUCAGCCGGUAGAGCAUCUCCCUUUUAAGGAGGUGGCCGUUGGUUCGAAUCCAAC
RNAcentral lists this transfer RNA (60 nucleotides) under uncultured Campylobacter sp. It matches the Rfam family "tRNA", at positions 8 to 63 of the family's 71-position model. From Rfam's summary of the family: Transfer RNA (tRNA) molecules are approximately 80 nucleotides in length. Their secondary structure includes four short double-helical elements and three loops (D, anti-codon, and T loops). The record is from RNAcentral. Lineage: Bacteria; Pseudomonadati; Campylobacterota; Epsilonproteobacteria; Campylobacterales; Campylobacteraceae.